GAUUGCGGAGCCUCUCCGCUUGCCUUCUCUUGAGGACUUAUCAGGGGUAUUGGGAAGGGGACUCCUCUUUGGAGGUCUUUAGCACAAAAAUAAACAAACAAAUCAGAUUGCCUCCCAUAUGGCACAGACACUCAGCAAACAUGGCCUACAGAGUAGGACUUAUGCAAUGAAUGUCUAGGUCCUACUUCUCAUGGCAUCAAUGAUAAAUGUCUACCCUACUUCUC
Molecule: long non-coding RNA, 224 nt
Filed under: Lathyrus oleraceus (garden pea)
Lineage: Eukaryota; Viridiplantae; Streptophyta; Magnoliopsida; Fabales; Fabaceae
Description: Pisum sativum (pea) long non-coding RNA (PSAT_LNC006537)
Source: RNAcentral